CAGUAUCUUUGGUCCCACCUUCUGUUCCUCUCAAAUUUGAUACAGAUAGGAGUGCAUGGCCCUACAUGGCAUGGUCAGUCUUUGCCCAUGCUCAAUUAUGAUUUGUACACUAACCCUCUUCAAGUGUUCCAGUUCAGCAACAACAUGGUAGCAUCUCACAUCACCAGCUUCUCCAUACUGCUAUGGAUUAUGGAUUCUGCAAUGACAACUGGUGUGAGCCAGACUCCUCCUGACAUGUUUAAGAACCGAGAGGAUUCUGCUGAGUUCCAAUGCUCACACAACAUCUCAGGCUAUAAUGUAAUCCUGUGGUAUCAACAACCCCAGGCCGGAGGAAUGACACUGCUUGGAUAUGUCUAUAGGAUAACUAAAGUCAAAGAGAAACCAUUUGAACAGAACAUUGAACUGAAUGGAAGUUCUGGUGAAAACGAAAAGAGCUUCAUCACCAUAAAGAACCUGUCUUCAGAUGACAGUGCUUUGUAUUACUGUGCAGCCAGUGUGCACAGUGCCAUACAUCCUGUGCUCUCUUCACAAAAACUGAUUUCCAUCAGCCAUGACAGCUGAUCUUUACCACCGUAAAGCGUUGUGGAUUUAGACGUUUAGACGUUAAGACAGGGAGUGGUUUAACUCUACUGCUGACUCAGCAGAAGCACUUCCUCCAUUUGUACUGGGUGUCUUUGGUGUCAGUAACAUCCAUAU
Molecule: non-coding RNA, 696 nt
Organism: Alosa sapidissima (American shad)
Lineage: Eukaryota; Metazoa; Chordata; Actinopteri; Clupeiformes; Clupeidae
Source: the annotation of a RefSeq genome assembly